UGGACCAUUGGAUGUUGAAGUGACGCAGGAGACUUAAAUCGACUGGUUGCCCCAAUGUUUAACUAACCCUGAGGUGCCCAGUGGCAGGGGACCGUUGCCUGCGGAAGUCGCUUGCUGAUGCUCCCCGUUGGAGAUAGCUAUGCGUUGCUCCCUUGUCCCAGCUUAUUGACUGUUGCUUAUCAGCCUCCCGACUGUAUACUGGACAGUGGUCUCUUAGUGUUGCAAUGCUUGAUUAUCUGGGGCAUUUCUCCCCGAUUUGUAUCGUCAUUUUGGGUAUAGUAAACACUAUCUAGCCAAAUGCCUCGUCAUCUAAUAAGUGACGCGCAUGAAUGGAUUAACGAGAUUCCUACUGUCCCUAUCUACUAUCUAGCGAAACCACAGCCAAGGGAACGGGCUUGGCAGAAUCAGCGGGGAAAGAAGACCCUGUUGAGCUUGACUCUAGUCCGACUCUGUGAAGAGACAUGGUGGGUGUAGUAAUAAGUGGGAGGCGGGAAUCGCCCUUCGGGGUAUCUCAUUUGACAAUAAAAGACCACUCCCAUUAUUGUUUCUUUACUUAUUCAGUGAAGUGAGAACUGUCAAUUAUAUUCCAUGUUGACAUUAAGCACGCGUUAGUGCGUUGGUCUCACCCCGUGUGUGGCUGGCGUGCCAGCGUCUUGGUCGCUACUAUCUGGCCUGGGCUAGUGGUAUGCGUGUUUUGCCCUCUACUGCCUGUAGGCUGUUGCCGCAAAGUGGCAUUCCAUAGCUGGUAGACGGUGGGCGCGUGUGUCCGGUUUGGGUGCUAUCAGGCAGGUUUGGCGACGUGCGACCCGAUCUGAAGAUAGUGUCAGGUGGGGAGUUUGACUGGGGCUGUACAUCUGUCAAAUCGUAACGCAGGUGUCCCAAGGUGAGCUCAGCCGGGACAGAAACCUGGCAUAGGGUAUAAGGGCAAAAGCUUACUUGAUUUUGAUUUUCAGUAAGAACACAGACCGUGAAAGCGUGGCCAAGCGAUCCUUUUGAUCAACCGAUAUUCAAAGUUUGAAGCAAGAGGUGUCAAAAAAGUUACCACAGGAAUAACUGGCUUGUGGUGGCCAAGCGUUCAUAGCGACGUCGCUUUUUGAUCCUUCG
RNAcentral lists this non-coding RNA (1104 nucleotides) under Schistocephalus solidus. Its description in RNAcentral is "Eukaryotic large subunit ribosomal RNA". It matches the Rfam family "Eukaryotic large subunit ribosomal RNA", at positions 2041 to 2880 of the family's 3401-position model. The record is from Rfam by way of RNAcentral. Lineage: Eukaryota; Metazoa; Platyhelminthes; Cestoda; Diphyllobothriidea; Diphyllobothriidae.